This 1099-nucleotide ribosomal RNA is filed under the name Dictyota sp. KZN2305. RNAcentral describes it as "eukaryotic LSU rRNA". It matches the Rfam family "Eukaryotic large subunit ribosomal RNA", at positions 40 to 1124 of the family's 3401-position model. Lineage: Eukaryota; Phaeophyceae; Dictyotales; Dictyotaceae. RNAcentral also lists the same sequence under 1 other name. The record is from RNAcentral.
AUAUAACUAAGCGGAGGAAAAGAAACUAACAAGGAUUCCCCCAGUAACGGCGAGUGAAGCGGGAAGAGCUCACGUUGUGAAUCUGGCCCUCGGGCCCGAACUGUACUCUGGAGAGGCGAGGCCAGCCGCUGUCCGCGGCCAAGUCUGAUUGGAAAUGAGCAUCAAGGAGGGUGACAAUCCCGUCCAUGCCGCGGUAUCGAUCAGCGCGCGUCCGGCCCGCUUUCGACGAGUCGAGUUGCUUGGGAUUGCAGCUCAAAGAGGGUGGUAAACUCCAUCCAAAGCUAAACACGGGGGGGAGACCGAUAGCGAACAAGUACCGUGAGGGAAAGAUGCAAAGAACUUUGAAAAGAGAGUUAAAGAGUGCCUGAAAUUGCUGGAAGGGAAGCGAAGGAAAGAAGUGUGCGGUUGCCCGGGCGCCAACCCCUACCUGUCCGCAGGUGGGGGUAGGCCGCCCGGCCGCGGUCAGGGGUUGCGCCGGGCUCGGGGGAAGAGCCGUCGGGGAUCGGUAGGCGUGCCGCCGCUUCGGCGGGGCGCUGUCAGGCCCCGGUGGUGAUUUGUUUUUGCCCUGAGCCCGGCCCCCUUCUGGCGGUCGCGGCUUUUCUUCACCCCGUCUUGAAACACGGACCAAGGAGUCUAGCGUGGACGCGAGUAGAGGGGUGUCGAAACCCCCUUGCGCAAUGAAGGUGAACGCCGGUGGGAGGCCGUCCGGUUCUGGGCGGCCAGCACCAUCGACCGAGCGUGCUCCUCCGGGGGCAAGGCUUGAGUGUGAGCGUGCAUGCUGGGACCCGAAAGAUGGUGAACUAUGCCUGAAUAGGGCGAAGCCAGGGGAAACUCUGGUGGAGGCUCGUAGCGAUUCUGACGUGCAAAUCGAUCGUGAGAUUUGGGUAUAGGGGCGAAAGACUAAUCGAACCAUCUAGUAGCUGGUUCCCUCCGAAAUUUCCCUCAGGAUAGCAGCGGCCGAUUGUUAACAGUUUUAUCAGGUAAAGCGAAUGAUUAGAGGCUGCGGGGGAGUAACUCCCUCGCCCUAUUCUCAAACUUUAAAUGGGUAAGGAGCCGGGGUCGCUUGAUUGGACCCUCGGCGGCGGCGGCGGCGGCGGCU